AAUACGAAGCGGGGAUAGGACAUACAUGUAUAGGCGUACUCAGGUUUCUUAUGAAUAUGUAAAAAACAAUGUUCUAUAUAUAUUUCGAAAGUUUGAUGGUUGUGUGUGCGUGUUGGUAGAGCAUAGACUCCCUGCCCACCCAGCGCUGCUUACUUGCAUUUUAUAACUUUCAGAAAUCUUUGUUU
Molecule: long non-coding RNA, 185 nt
Organism: Oxyura jamaicensis (ruddy duck)
Lineage: Eukaryota; Metazoa; Chordata; Aves; Anseriformes; Anatidae
Exons: 3
Source: RefSeq, a predicted model, not a curated record